RNAcentral lists this ribosomal RNA (467 nucleotides) under uncultured bacterium. RNAcentral describes it as "bacterial SSU rRNA". It matches the Rfam family "Bacterial small subunit ribosomal RNA", at positions 28 to 524 of the family's 1533-position model. The record is from RNAcentral.
GACUAACGCUGGCGGCGUGCCUAACACAUGCAAGUCGAACGCACCGCAAGGUGAGUGGCAGACGGGUGAGUAACGCGUAGGUAAUGUGCCUUCUUGCUGGGGAUACCGUUCCGAAAGGGGCGUUAAUACCGAAUGUGUCGGUUUCGGGGCAUCCCGAGAUCGAUAAACUGCUAGGGCGAGAAGAGCAGCCUGCGUUCUAUCAGCUUGUUGGUGGGGUAACGGCCUACCAAGGCUACGACGGAUAGCCGGUCUGAGAGGAUGAUCGGCCACACUGGGACUGAGACACGGCCCAGACUCCUACGGGAGGCAGCAGUGAGGAAUAUUGCGCAAUGGGCGAAAGCCUGACGCAGCGACGCCGCGUGAGGGAUGAAGGCCUUCGGGUUGUAAACCUCUGUCAGUGGGGAAGAGAACGGACGGUACCCGACUGAGGAAGCUUCGGCUAACUACGUGCCAGCAGCCGCGGUAAU